ACAGAUUCAUCCUUACCACCACCUGGCACAAGCAGAUGCAGACAAUUGUCAUUUGCUCCACUUCCAGGUGGCCAAAGAUGCUCUGCUGGACAGUCCUCCUCUAGUCCACUUCCCACAAUGGCAUCCUGAAAUGGAAGAUGAUACAUUCAGUGGGGAUGCUAGCGAGAGAUGGUCUGGGGAAUGUGGCAGUGAUGUGGCCUUAAUUUCAGAGUAUGAGCCUGCAGAAAAUCCCCAACACCAUGUCAGACCCAUGGCCAAAACCAGCACAUCUCUUUCUAACUUCAGGCGUUUAUUGAAUUUUAAUUUCACAGUAUCAAUAUAUACAAUGCAAUAUUGGAAUAUUAGUUACACAUUAGUAAUAUCGUAAGCCUUUGUCGCUUACUAUAGCAUAACAGUAAAACAUUAUAGUUCAACACAUUUGAGUCAUAGACACAUAGACAUAGCAUAACACAGUGGGUUGCAACUUAGGUGACCCAGUCCAGCCAUUUAUCCCAUAUUUUGUGGUAUUUUUUGGGGCUACUCCUUUUCCAAUAGAUAAGAUUCUCCAUAGUGGAUAUACGUUUAACUUCUAGAACCCAUUGGGAGGAAUUGGGAGGUGUGGACUGCUUCCAUUUUCUUGUAAUAAGCUUCUUUGUUGUAAAUAGUGCUUCAUUAUUAAAGGUGCUUUGAUACCGUG
Xenopus tropicalis (tropical clawed frog) is the source of this 676-nucleotide long non-coding RNA. RefSeq lists it as uncharacterized. Lineage: Eukaryota; Metazoa; Chordata; Amphibia; Anura; Pipidae. The record is from RefSeq and is a predicted model, not a curated record. The transcript has 2 exons.